GGUCUUUUUGCUUUUUUCUAGGGCCUCUUCCCGCGGCAUACGGAGGUUCCCAGGAUAGGGGUCGAAUCGGAGCUGUAGCCGCUGGCCUACGACAGAGCCACAGCAACAUGGGAUCCAAAGCCGUGUCUGCGACCUACACCGAAGUUCAUGGCAACGCCGGAUCCUUAACCCACUGAGCAAGGCCAGGGAUCGAACCCGCAACGUCAUGGUUCCUAGUCAGAUUCGUUCACCACUGCGCCACGACGGGAACUCCAAGCCCUCUCCUCUUUGAUGCACCGCCGUCCCUGUCUGUCACGCCACUCCUUCCCCUGCAGAGCUCAUGACCUUUUUUUCCCUGGGCUUCACCUCAGCAAAAGCUGAACUCAAUCUCUACCUUUCUUUUUUCUUUUUGUCUUUUUAGGGCAGCAGGUGCGGCAUAUAGAAGUUCCCAGGCUAGGGGUUGAAGUGCAGCUGUAGCUGUCGGCCUAUCCCCCCACAGCCACAGGAAUGCCAGAUCCGAGCCUCGACAGCGACCUAACCACAGCUCAUCACGACACCGGAUCCUUAAUCCACUGAGCGAGGCCAAGGAUCAAACCCACGUCCUCCUGGAUAUUAGUCGGGUUCAUUACCACUGAACCACAGUGGGAACUCCCACACUCUACCUUUCCCAGGGAGCCUUUCCUGAUCUAGGCCACCCAGCUCUGACCACUCCUUUCCCCAUUGCCUUUUCUUUGAGGUUGGAACCAGUACCACAUUGUUCACAAAUGGGCAGUGAUGGUGAUGAAGACGGUGGCUGGCAUUUCUUGAAGGCCUCCUACAGGCAGGUGUGGUGCCGCCCUCUCCAGGCGUCUGCUCCCCACCUCCCCUGAGCACCUUCAUUCGAUGAACGUGGUCACUGCUUCAGCGGACAUUUCUUAGGCACCUGUUCUGUGCCACUCUCCGAGGCCACAGGAAACAAGAAAUCAGUGCCUGCUGCUCCCGGGGAGUUCACAGGCUGAGGCAGAAGAGCAGGUGUGGGUGAUGGGAUGUGGCGGAAGCUCUAAGAGAGGCCACGAGCAUCCUGGGGACCAGCGAGUGGGGAGCGGGCGAAGCUGGCUCUGGUGGUGAACAGGCGGCCUCAGGAUCCUGGCGAGGCAAGACAUGCACAGGCCCACCCCAGGGCCUGCCGGAAAAAGGGCACAGGUCCAUGGUGAUCAAGGAGCCAGUCAGAGGGAGCUGGGUCUGCCUUGCACAAGUUUCCUUUCUUUUUUUCCUUUUUUAUGGCCGCACCUGCGGUAUAUGGAGAUUCCCAGGCUAGAGAUAGAAUUGGAGCUGUAGCUGCUGGCGUGCACCACAGCCAGCGGCUACAGCCUGGAUUUGACCCCUAGACUGGGAACCUUCAUGUUCUGUGGGUGUGGCCCUAAAAAGAAAAAAAAAAAAAGUGAGCCUGGCAAAAAAGCAGGGAAGGGUGUUCCAGGCAGAGGGAACAGCCUGGACAAAGCACAGUCAGUAUCGGUGGGGACCGAAAGCAGUUCGCGCUCAGGAGAAAGGAGAUGGAAAAGUGGAAAUGGGAGGAGGGGGCUGGGCCUUGAUCGCUGCACUGAGACGGCGAGUCUUCGUUGCCCACUUGACACUCCUGUCCUGCUCCCCCCCCCAACCCCCGCAGGUCCUGGAGGCUGGCAUUGAGGCGAACAUACCUGUGACCUAUGGAAUUGGCAGCCAGAGGGGAGAUGAGAGCACUGGCUGUCAAUUCAUAGGUCAGAGCCCUGUGCACUCGGUCUUGGCAGCCUGCCGACAGCCCACCACCCUGCACCAUCCUGGGCCUGGGAUCGUGGCUGUGGGGAUCCCUGCUGGUCUGCUGGACAACAGCCACCUCUCCUCCUCCGAGGGCACUGGCCCC
RNAcentral lists this long non-coding RNA (1858 nucleotides) under Sus scrofa (pig). Its description in RNAcentral is "lncRNA (ENSSSCG00030015892.1)". Lineage: Eukaryota; Metazoa; Chordata; Mammalia; Artiodactyla; Suidae. The record is from RNAcentral.